RNAcentral lists this transfer RNA (47 nucleotides) under Aspidoscelis tigris. RNAcentral's name for it is "partial tRNA-Leu". The record is from RNAcentral. Lineage: Eukaryota; Metazoa; Chordata; Lepidosauria; Squamata; Teiidae.
CUUUUAAAGGAAAAAAGCAAUCCAAUGGCGUUAGGAGCCACCAUACU